CAGUCGCCACGGUAAUACGGAGGGCUCGAGCGUUACCCGGAUUUACUGGGCGUAAAGGGCGUGUAGGCGGCCUGGGGCGUCCCAUGUGAAAGGCCACGGCUCAACCGUGGAGGAGCGUGGGAUACGCUCAGGCUAGAGGGUGGGAGAGGGUGGUGGAAUUCCCGGAGUAGCGGUAAAAUGCGCAGAUACCGGGAGGAACGCCGAUGGCGAAGGCAGCCACCUGGUCCACUUCUGACGCUGAGGCGCGAAAGCGUGGGGAGCAAACCGGAUUAGAUACCCGGGUAGUCCCUGUCUCUUAUAC
RNAcentral lists this ribosomal RNA (301 nucleotides) under uncultured bacterium. RNAcentral describes it as "partial 16S ribosomal RNA". It matches the Rfam family "Bacterial small subunit ribosomal RNA", at positions 509 to 807 of the family's 1533-position model. The record is from RNAcentral.